CGGCGGAACUGGCCGGCCAUCCCGCCGCGGCCCUGACGCCUGGGCUGCGCUGGCUGCUAGGGUCAAGUCCCAGCUGACCUUUCUCCCGAGGAAAGAUAAAUUAUUAUGGUUGUGUGUGAGCGUCAGUGCAAAUGUUUUCCGAGUCCUCCUCCGGCUCAGGGUGACUUUUGGAUCCCCCGCAUUCCUCAGCCCCUGGCAGGGAGCGGCGGCGCUCUUUGUGUCUCCGGGGAGCGCACGCCACCUCGGGGGAAACAGCGAACCCGAGUUAGAACGGGGAGAGACAUAGCUUCCCCUAGCGUGAGAUUUUUAAUCUUUUAAAGCGCCCCGGUGAACCUAGAAACCCAAAAAUUAACUUGAACAGCAAAUGCUCUGGGUUUUACAGACGUUUGUUUCUUUGUCUUUUUUCAUUGCCUCUUCCGUGCCAAAAAUAUCUGUUCGCUGGAGAACACAUCCGGAAAGAGCUGUUUUCCCCUGUUCAUCCAGGAAAGAAGAGCAUCUGUCCCCCAGGCUGGGCUUUGUCUUCCUUUGCUUUGCGACUGCACUAGCACAGCAAGGCUACAUAAGGGGGCCUUUCAGCAGAGGAGCCUGGUGUUGAACUCGUGCCAUAGGGAAUGAAUUCUUCUAUAGACCCCUCGUCCUCUUCUGCAAGUUAAAGGAGGGGUGAUUUGCAAAAAAAAAAAAAAGAAAGAAAAAAAAAAAAAGAAAAGCAUAUGUGUAUGAAUGUGUCUUCCUGUCCUAGCAUUCUGUUCCUUUGUGCCUUUAAGUUCUUGUGCUUUUGUGUGGACUCCACUGUCAGUGUAGCUCAAGACCCUCACUAGCCUCCACACUCAUAGUUCCCCCUUCUAGAGCCCGUGUAAACUGGUUUUCACAGCAUGAGCUGUAUUCCUGCUGAAGAACUGGCUUUUACAGAAUUAGGUUGCCAAGCUAGCAAUUAGACAAUGAACACCCAUGGCACUGUGUUGCUAAAGGGAAAAUUCAGUAUUGCUAGAAACUGAAAAUGGACUCUGCAGUGUUGUUUUUAUGGGAAGAAAUGUGUAUGGAGAGAAGCCGCCAUACAGUGCAAGGCUUCAAAUCCAUGUCAGCUACCAUUGGUUUCUGGUUUACUUUAAAAAGCUCCAUCUGUAUCAUCUUGACCAGUGAAUCAGUUCCCAAAGUAUAAAUCAUUGUAAGUUAUUAGUAUAUUGAUAAAGGCUUAAAAGCAACUCGAAAUCUACAGAAUACCUGUGAUUCUCUCACAACCAGGACUCAAAGAACUAUUCUGUGUUCAGCCAAGGAGAGCUUUAGGCUGGCCCAUUAUUCCAAUCCUCAUUGUUUGAGACGAAAAGAUAAAUGAGGAGUGGUAGGCCAGGCCUGUGUUCUAAGAACAGGGAGGCGUGGCAGGAAGAUGAGGAAUUGAAGGCCAUCCUUCAGAGUGAGCUAGAAGUUCAAGAAGAAGCAUAGGGAACCAAAACAAUGUUCUGAGUCAUGUGUCGUGAUGACCAUAAAAGAAGAAAGGGGCAUAGGGUAGCCAUGGUGAUACAGCCUGUGUCCUGAAUUUGAGGGGGACAGGUGCUUAAGCCAAGGGCUCACUGGGGCUGCAAGUCAGUGGUACAGAGGUUCCCAAUGUGCAUGAGGCCCCGGGUUCUGUCACCAGCACCAUAAAGAGAAUUAUGCUUACAGAUGUUCAAAUGACACGUGAGGAUAAAACCCUGACCCUUUUGUCCUUAAGCAUGGUGACUGGUCACACCUGACAGUGUGAUGUGGAAAAAGAAGAAAAGCCCAAAACCUCAGUGAGCUUCAUUAACCACGUCCAGUCCAGAAACAGAUCUAGUGAAAGAGUGUAUGUGAAGUCCAACAAGGCUGCACUAGGUGAGGCCGACUGUAAUCCAGUUAGUCAGUUGUGAACAUUUAAGUUCCCACUUGAUACUUCAGUCCAGAUCUUCCCUUUUCAAGAUAUUAAAAUGUUAGUGGCCUAUUAAACAGUAAGAACUAUCAGUACUGAGCCAGGCAGUGGGUACGCACGCCUUUAUUCCCAGAGCUCAGGAGGCAGAAGCAGGUGAAUUUCCGUGAAUUCAAAGACAGCCAGGACUACACAGAGAGAACCCCUGUCUUGAAAACCAAACAAACAGAAAAACAAAAACAUCAGUACUAGUAUGGUGGGGGAAAUAUAUGAGAACAAGUAAAUUACAAGAUGUUAGUUUUCCUUUCCUCCUUUUUUUUGACAGUCUUAUGUUUCUCGGACUGGCCUUGUAUUUACUCUGUAGCCAAAAAUGACCUUGAACUCUGAUCCUCCCCUGUACCUCCUGAGUAACAGGGCUAUGGUGGGGGCUGUUGGGGUUGGGGGCUACGUACCACUUCCAGCUUAUGCUGUACUGGGGGUUUGAACACUUGGCUUCCUGAAUGCGAGGCAAGUACUCUACCAACUGAACUAUAUCCCCUUUGAAAUUUAUGUUCAGUAAAGUAAUUUAAAAAAACCAAAUCACUGAAGCUGGAGAGAUGACUCACAGGUUAAGAAUUUUGUCUGCUCUUCCAGAGGUCCUGAGUUCAAUUCCCAGCAACUACAUGGUGGCUCACAGCCAUCUGUAAUGGAUAUUAUAAAAACAAACCAAAUUUAUCAACUUAUUUUGUAUGUUUUCAUGCCCCUAAUUUUAAAAACCUACAUAUGUGUAAUAGUUAACAUAGGCUACAUAAAGAAUGUAUAUGGGUUGGGGAUUUAGCUGAG
RNAcentral lists this long non-coding RNA (2701 nucleotides) under Rattus norvegicus (Norway rat). RNAcentral's name for it is "long non-coding RNA NONRATT031368". Lineage: Eukaryota; Metazoa; Chordata; Mammalia; Rodentia; Muridae. The record is from RNAcentral.